Molecule: ribosomal RNA, 466 nt
Filed under: uncultured bacterium
Lineage: Bacteria
Description: partial 16S ribosomal RNA
Rfam family: Bacterial small subunit ribosomal RNA
Source: RNAcentral
GAUGAACGCUGGCGGCGUGCUUAACACAUGCAAGUCGAACGAUGAAGCUCAGCUUGCUGGGUGGGUUAGUGGCGAACGGGUGAGUAACACGUGAGUAACCUGCCCUUAACGCUGGGAUAAGCCUUGGAAAAGAGGUCUACUACCGGAUAGGGGCGCCUACCGCAUGGUGGGUGUUGGGAAGAUUUGCCGGUUUUGGAUGGACUCGCGGCCUAUCAGCUUGUUGGUGUGGUAUUGGCUCACCAAGGCGACGACGGGUAGCCGGCCUGAGAGGGUGACCGGCCCCACUGGGACUGAGACACGGCCCAGACUCCUACGGGAGGCAGCAGUGGGGAAUAUUGCACAAUGGGCGGAAGCCUGAUGCAGCGACGCCGCGUGGGGGAUGACGGCCUUCGGGUUGUAAACCUCUUUCAGUUGGGAAGAAGCGAAAGUGACGGUACCUGCAGAAGAAGCACCGGCUAACUACGUG